UACGGAGGGUGCAAGCGUUAAUCGGAAUUACUGGGCGUAAAGCGUACGUAGGCGGCUUGUUAAGCAAGAUGUGAAAUCCCCGGGCUCAACCUGGGAAUGGCAUUUUGAACUGGCAGGCUCGAGUUCUGAAGAGGGUGGUAGAAUUUCCAGUGUAGCGGUGAAAUGCGUAGAUAUUGGAAGGAAUACCGGUGGCGAAGGCGGCCACCUGGUCAGAAACUGACGCUGAGGUACGAAAGCGUGGGAAGCAAACAGG
Molecule: ribosomal RNA, 253 nt
Filed under: uncultured microorganism
Description: partial 16S ribosomal RNA
Rfam family: Bacterial small subunit ribosomal RNA
Source: RNAcentral